This 302-nucleotide long non-coding RNA is filed under the name Vigna radiata. Its description in RNAcentral is "long non-coding RNA (VRAD_LNC001797)". The record is from RNAcentral. Lineage: Eukaryota; Viridiplantae; Streptophyta; Magnoliopsida; Fabales; Fabaceae.
GAGAAAAAAAUUCUUUACCUUGAGUUGAGUUGAGAAUUAUUGAAUGCUAUUGAUAAAGGUUCAAGUUUGGGGUUGUUGGGAGAAUAGAAAGGCAAAAGAAAAGCAUUGAGCUAAUGUGUUGAAUGAAAAAUCAUGAGAAAAGAUAGAAAAGAAAAGAAAAGAAAAGCGUGAAAGAUAAGCUCAAUGCAAAAGCAAAGGAAAAAGGGAAAAGUUGGGAAUGAGUGAGAUUGGUUGAAAAAGAGUUGGUGCUUGAACUAUGAAUGUUGAAUAACUCUCUUAACUCAAGGAUUUUGUGAUCUAGA